Molecule: long non-coding RNA, 1038 nt
Organism: Limulus polyphemus (Atlantic horseshoe crab)
Lineage: Eukaryota; Metazoa; Arthropoda; Merostomata; Xiphosura; Limulidae
Exons: 3
Source: RefSeq, a predicted model, not a curated record
UUACAUUAGCUUGUGAGAGAGCAUCAAUUUAUUUGACGCCCCAAUCUCAGCAAUCAUAAGAUACAAAAAGUCCAAAUAACAGCAUGUGCACCAAGUACGGCUAAUAAUGAAAAAGGUGUCGAUAUAUGGAGAUUACCGUGAACAUUAGUGGAGGUUUGCAAUAAAAAGUAAAGGACUCAGGCCUCAUCUAGGUACCAUUAGCCAUAUAGUAGAACAGUAUGCAGUCACAAAUCGUAUAUCAUGACCCGAGAAACCUGGUACAUGAAACACUGAAGAAGAAGAACGAAGCAAGUCUGUUAGCAACACCUUCCUCCACUUAACGUGAUUCCAGUAGACAAACCAACCCUCAGUCAACAGAAAAAGCAAGCCAGGAACCCAGUUGACAGUUAUGUUCAACACAGCAGACCAUCCUUGGGUCAGAGUGUAGAGUAUCAACUGAAAGGAAGUGGAGUAUAACAGUAGGCUUGUGGUCACUACAUUUUGAUGACAACAUUCUACAUCUCUAGAAAUAAUAUACAAUUAAGCUUGUUCUUCUGGGGAAAAACGUUUCCUGAUUUGCAGACACGAGGCGUAAAAUUAUUUCAAUGUUAAAAACCAAGACUUGAUUUGACUGACUCUUUCACACAAAAUCAGAAAUCGAUGGAGAAGAAGUUCGAGCGUCCAAUUCACGUACACAAUGCUCUUACUUGCGUGACCCGAGCUAUUUCACUCGUUUAACAGCAAAACAGUGGUAGCCAAGUGGAACAUCAAUAAUCAAAUUACUAUCAUAACGAUGGCGGUAGAUUAUUAAUGUUUCCGAAGUUCGUUUUUCCCUCGAGUCACGAGAGAUUCUAGGUGUCCCAUGAAAGGUGUCUUUGGUUUGAUCUUCGUGCGUGAAUUAUUAUUACUCAGAAAAUAGAAGGCAAUUACCCGAAACUGGAAUUAGUAUAGAAAGGAAAGCUUUCUAUAUUCUAUCUCAUUAUUUCAAAAACGGCACUAAAUUUUAUUUGUAUGCAUAGAAAAUAUUGGCCCUUUUUUGUCAAUGUGUGUGUUUAUUCA